AAAAUAAAGUUUUAAGUACGUAUUAAUAAUGAUAAUAUGUAUACUAGUCUUGACCAAUUACGUGCCAGCAGUCGCGGUAAUACGUAAGAGACGAGCAUUAUUCAUAUUAAAUAGGUUUAAAGGGUACCCAGACGGUCAAAAUACCUUAACUAAAAGGAGUACUUGACUAGAGUUUUAUGUGAGAAGACCGUACUUGAGGUGGAGAGAUUAUAUUCUGUGAUACCAAGGGGACUGAUAAAGGCGAAAGCUGUCUUUUAUGUAAUAACUGACGUUGGAGGACGAAGGCAUAGAACACGAACAGGAUUUGACACCCUAGUAGUCUUUGCAGACAAUGAUGAAUGCCAUGGACUAGUCGCUAAAAUAACUACUCUAUCCUAGAUUGUUACACAAUCUAGGAUGCGAGUGUAGUUUAAGCAGAAUUAGUCUAUAAAUGAAAAUGAAAGCAUUUCACCUCAAGAGUAAUGUGGCAACGCAGGAACUGAAAUCACUAGACCGUUUCUGACACCAGUAGUGAAGUAUG
RNAcentral lists this ribosomal RNA (520 nucleotides) under Colletotrichum fioriniae. RNAcentral describes it as "SSU rRNA". It matches the Rfam family "Bacterial small subunit ribosomal RNA", at positions 446 to 941 of the family's 1533-position model. The record is from RNAcentral. Lineage: Eukaryota; Fungi; Ascomycota; Sordariomycetes; Glomerellales; Glomerellaceae.